GAUGAACGCUAGCGGCAGGCUUAACACAUGCAAGUCGAGGGGCAGCACGUCUUCGGAUGGUGGCGACCGGCGCACGGGUGCGUAACGCGUAUAGAACCUACCUUUUACAGGGGAAUAGCCCAGAGAAAUUUGGAUUAAUGCCCCAUAGUAUUAUUAGAUGGCAUCAUUUGGUAAUUAAACAUUUAUGGGUAAAAGAUGGCUAUGCGUUCUAUUAGCUAGAUGGUAAGGUAACGGCUUACCAUGGCGACGAUAGAUAGGGGUCCUGAGAGGGAGAUCCCCCACACUGGUACUGAGACACGGACCAGACUCCUACGGGAGGCAGCAGUGAGGAAUAUUGGACAAUGGGCGAGAGCCUGAUCCAGCCAUGCCGCGUGCAGGAAGACGGUCCUAUGGAUUGUAAACUGCUUUUUAUACAGGAAGAAACACUCCCUCGUGAGGGAAUUUGACGGUACUGUAUGAAUAAGCACCGGCUAACUCCGUGCCAGCAGCCGCGG
Molecule: ribosomal RNA, 494 nt
Filed under: uncultured bacterium
Lineage: Bacteria
Description: bacterial SSU rRNA
Rfam family: Bacterial small subunit ribosomal RNA
Source: RNAcentral